ACAAAAUAUUUCCCCUGGACCUUAUCGCUGGAACGAGUAAUGCAGUAUUCUAUACAGGGAACCAGUUUUUUGGCUCCGAAAAAUGAAUUUCUUCAAUUUUGUGACAACAUUGAGAUGAAAAAAAAAGCAACAAAGUAUAAGUCUUACCAUUUAAACUUUUAUUGACAGUAAGUUUGAUGGUAAAAUAAACAUUUUACACAAUUAUAAUCAAAAUCAAAUUUUAAAGUUUUGCCUGGCAAAGGGAGAUAAUUAUAUUAAAUUUUCCCGUAUUU
RNAcentral lists this long non-coding RNA (272 nucleotides) under Mytilus galloprovincialis (Mediterranean mussel). Lineage: Eukaryota; Metazoa; Mollusca; Bivalvia; Mytilida; Mytilidae. The record is from RNAcentral.